Molecule: ribosomal RNA, 500 nt
Filed under: uncultured bacterium
Lineage: Bacteria
Description: partial 16S ribosomal RNA
Rfam family: Bacterial small subunit ribosomal RNA
Source: RNAcentral
AUUGAACGCUAGCGGAAUGCUUUACACAUGCAAGUCGAACGACAGCACGGACUUCGGUCUGGUGGCGAGUGGCGAACGGGUGAGUAAUGUAUCGGAACGUGCCCAGUCGUGGGGGAUAACGUAGUGAAAAUUACGCUAAUACCGCAUACGAUCUAUGGAUGAAAGCGGGGGAUCGCAAGACCUGGCGCGAUUGGAGCGGCCGAUAUCAGAUUAGGUAGUUGGUGGGGUAAAGGCCCACCAAGCCAACGAUCUGUAGCUGGUCUGAGAGGACGACCAGCCACACUGGAACUGAGACACGGUCCAGACUCCUACGGGAGGCAGCAGUGGGGAAUUUUGGACAAUGGGCGAAAGCCUGAUCCAGCCAUUCCGCGUGCAGGAUGAAGGCCCUCGGGUUGUAAACUGCUUUUGUACAGAACGAAAAGGUUUCUACUAAUACUAGGAGCUCAUGACGGUACUGUAAGAAUAAGCACCGGCUAACUACGUGCCAGCCGCCGCCGUAA